Molecule: ribosomal RNA, 108 nt
Filed under: Octodon degus (degu)
Lineage: Eukaryota; Metazoa; Chordata; Mammalia; Rodentia; Octodontidae
Source: RNAcentral
GUCUAUGGCCAUGCCACCCUGAAUGCGCCCGAUCUUGUCUGAUCUCGGAAGCUAAGCAGGGUCGGGCCUGGUUAGUACUUGGAUGGGAGAAUGUAAGUGUCUUUACCU